AGCCUUCGCUCAACCGAAGAAGGCAUCGGAAACUGGAAACUUGAGUGCAGAAGAGGACAGUGGACUCCAUGGUAGCGGUGAAUGCGUAGAUAUAUGGAGAACACCAGUGGCGAAGGCGGCUGUCUGGUCUGUAACUGACGCUGAGGCUCGAAAGCAUGGGUAGCAAACAGGAUUAGAUACCCUGGUAGUCCAUGCCGUAAACGAUGAGUGCUAGGUGUUGGAGGGUUUCCGCCCUUCAGUGCCGCAGCUAACGCAUUAAGCACUCCGCCUGGGGAGUACGACCGCAAGGUUGAAACUCAAAGGAAUUGACGGGGGCCCGCACAAGCGGUGGAGCAUGUGGUUUAAUUCGAAGCAACGCGAAGAACCUUACCAGGUCUUGACAUCCUUUGACCACUCUAGAGAUAGAGCUUUUCCUUCGGGGACAAAGUGACAGGUGGUGCAUGGUUGUCG
RNAcentral lists this ribosomal RNA (450 nucleotides) under Latilactobacillus sakei. RNAcentral describes it as "bacterial SSU rRNA". It matches the Rfam family "Bacterial small subunit ribosomal RNA", at positions 599 to 1054 of the family's 1533-position model. Lineage: Bacteria; Bacillati; Bacillota; Bacilli; Lactobacillales; Lactobacillaceae. The record is from RNAcentral.